GACGAACGCUGGCGGCGUGCUUACUACAUGCAAGUCGAACGCUGAAGCUUGGUGCUUGCUCUUGGUGGCUGAGUGGCGAACGGGUGGGUAAUACGUGAGUAACCUGCCCUUGACUCUGGGAUAACCCUGGGAAACUGGGUCUAAUACUGGAUACGACAUGUCACCGCAUGGUGCCGUGUAGAAAGGGCUUUACUGGUUUUGGAAGGGCUCACGGCCUAUCAGCUUGUUGGUGGGGUAAUGGCUCACCAAGGCGACGACGGGUAGCCGGCCUGAGAGGGUGACCGGCCACACUGGGACUGAGGAAGGGCCCAGACUCGUACGGGAGGCAGCAGGGGGGAAUAUUGCACAAUGGGCGGGAGCCUGAUGCAGCGACGCCGCGUGAGGGAUGACGGCCUUCGGGUUGUAAACCUCUUUCAGCACGGAAGAAGCGAAAGUGACGGUACGUGCAGAAGAAGCGCCGGCUAACUACGUG
This 472-nucleotide ribosomal RNA is filed under the name uncultured bacterium. RNAcentral describes it as "partial 16S ribosomal RNA". It matches the Rfam family "Bacterial small subunit ribosomal RNA", at positions 28 to 507 of the family's 1533-position model. The record is from RNAcentral.